Molecule: long non-coding RNA, 728 nt
Organism: Triticum dicoccoides
Lineage: Eukaryota; Viridiplantae; Streptophyta; Magnoliopsida; Poales; Poaceae
Exons: 3
Source: RefSeq, a predicted model, not a curated record
CCCAGGUGCUAAAAUCUUAUGUGUCAAGGGCAUUGUGAUGGCGCGAUCCAUGUCUCCUGCUAGCGCUCGACGUCCCGUAGCCCCAAAGAGGAGGGCUCCAAGGUUGGACAACAAGCUUCACUGGAUGAAAGCAUUUCCCUUCUAAAACAGAGUGCUGCUGAUAUGAAUGCACAAGUUAGUCUUGAUACUAAGAUGGUCAUGGAAUUGCUUGAUCUAUACUAGGUCAACAUGUCAGCCAACCACUUAAAAAUAAUCAUUUGCAUUUCUUCCUCUAAACUGUGAAACCUGACGAGUGAUGACGCAUCAGCAAUUUAGCAAUAGAAGAUGUCAGUGAACACGAGUGCCAGUCAAGAGCAAUGAAACGCUAGAUACUUUAGAGUGUAAUUUUAUAUAAGAAUAAAUAAAUGACACUUAAGUCAUUAAGCAAUUGUUGUUGAGGUAUUGUCUCACCCUUUAUCUGCUCUCUUUUAAACUGUGGAAUGCUAUGGGCUGGAGCUACAGGGGAGGAGGGAGGUAAGCGUGAAUGCAAUGAAUAUUGUUCGGAUAAAAAAUUGGGUGCAAACUGAGUACUGACGUGCAGAGUAGGAUAGUUAUUGAGUUCUUCCUGAGUUUUCAUUGAGAAAAGAUUGGAACUGUGUGAUUUGUUCUGAACUUCUAAUACAAAGUAAAGAUGGUGUGCAUGGGAGGAGCUUGAAGUGGCAUUCCCAUGGAGGGAUGGCUGAUGGCAA